This 465-nucleotide ribosomal RNA is filed under the name uncultured bacterium. RNAcentral describes it as "partial 16S ribosomal RNA". It matches the Rfam family "Bacterial small subunit ribosomal RNA", at positions 28 to 507 of the family's 1533-position model. The record is from RNAcentral.
GACGAACGCUGGCGGCGUGCUUAACACAUGCAAGUCGAACGGAAAGGCCCCUUUGGGGGUACUCGAGUGGCGAACGGGUGAGUAACACGUGAGUAACCUGCCCUUGACUUCGGGAUAACUUCAGGAAACUGGGGCUAAUACCGGAUAGGAAUCCUUGCUGCAUGGUGGGGGUUGGAAAGCUUCUGCGGUUUUGGAUGGACUCGCGGCCUAUCAGCUUGUUGGUGGGGUAGUGGCUUACCAAGGCUUUGACGGGUAGCCGGCCUGAGAGGGCGACCGGCCACAUUGGGACUGAGAUACGGCCCAGACUCCUACGGGAGGCAGCAGUGGGGAAUAUUGCACAAUGGGCGGAAGCCUGAUGCAGCAACGCCGCGUGCGGGAUGACGGCCUUCGGGUUGUAAACCGCUUUCAGCAGGGGCGAAGCUUGUGGUGACGGUACCUGCAGAAGAAGCACCGGCUAACUACGUG